RNAcentral lists this ribosomal RNA (451 nucleotides) under uncultured bacterium. RNAcentral describes it as "bacterial SSU rRNA". It matches the Rfam family "Bacterial small subunit ribosomal RNA", at positions 340 to 782 of the family's 1533-position model. The record is from RNAcentral.
UACGGGAGGCAGCAGUGGGGAAUAUUGCACAAUGGGCGCAAGCCUGAUGCAGCCAUGCCGCGUGUAUGAAGAAGGCCUUCGGGUUGUAAAGUACUUUCAGUCGUGAGGAAGGUGUUAAGGUUAAUAACCUUAGCAAUUGACGUUAGCGACAGAAGAAGCACCGGCUAACUCCGUGCCAGCAGCCGCGGUAAUACGGAGGGUGCGAGCGUUAAUCGGAAUUACUGGGCGUAAAGGGCACGCAGGCGGUUAAUUAAGUUGGAUGUGAAAUCCCCGGGCUUAACCUGGGAAUGGCAUUCAAGCUGGUUAGCUAGAGUCUUGUAGAGGGGGUAGAAUUCCGAUGUGUAGCGGUGAAAUGCGUAGAGAUGUGGAGGAAUACCGGUGGCGAAGGCGGCCCCUGGACAAAGACUGACGCUCAUGUGCGAAAGCGUGGGGAGCGAAACAGGGAUUUAGA